CCCAUCCAUCCCAGGGCAGCCCCUUUCCCCCACCUGCCAAGCCCAAGUGUGUGCUCCUUGCCCACCGUCGGUUUCUGGAGUCUGCGGGUGGGUGUUUAGAUAGCGCCAUCCGUUGCGGCGUUUAGAGUCCACCAACAGGUGAUGUCCUAGGGCACUUGUCUUUGCCUUUCUGGCUUCCUUCGCUUAGUAUGAGGGUCUCUCGUUCCAGCCCCGCGGCGGCAGAUGGCACUCGUUCUGCCGCUUUUUCCUGGCUGUGUGCGAUGCCAUCGCAUGGAUGUCCCCGGGCCUUCGAAGUGCACUCACCUGUCAGUGGACCUUUAGGUGGCUUCCAGAUCUUGGCUCUGCCCCGCGGCGGCAGAUGGCACUCGUUCUGCCGCUUUUUCCUGGCUGUGUGCGAUGCCAUCGCAUGGAUGUCCCCGGGCCUUCGAAGUGCACUCACCUGUCAGUGGACCUUUAGGUGGCUUCCAGAUCUUGGCUCUGGUGAGUAGUGCGGCGACAGACAGAGGGGUGCCCGGGUCUGCUUCCGGGAAAGUUUGGUCCCGGUGAAAUGGAGCUGUUUGGAGGCCGGCUUCGGUCUUUGUGUGGGCCGGCCCGUGUAGGGCUGCUUGGCUGAGACUCUGUCGAGGAGGGAGGCCUUCAGCCACCGGGGCCUCACGGGGCCUACCCGUGCGGCACCAUCACAGAGCUCUCUGUCACUGCCCCUUGUGGGGGUGAGGGAAGGGGCGUGUUGGGGGGGGGCGUGUGUGUGGGGGGGAUGGUGGGCAAGGAGCACACACUUGGGCUUGGCGGGUGGGGGGGGGGUGGGGGUGGGGGAAAGGGGCUGCCCUGGGAUGGAUGGGGAUGGGCCUCUGGGCUGCUCUGUGGAUGCCACCUGCGCUGUGUGGAAUGGAUGGGCCAGGGGAGCCGCCGGUACAGCGCGGGGAAAUGUCUGCGAGUGGGUCCCUUGACUCUGUCGAGGAGGGAGGCCUUCAGCCACCGGGGCCUCACGGGGCCUCCCGUGCGGCACCAUCACAGAGCUCUCCGUCACUGCCCUGGUGGGGGUGAGGGAA
This 1049-nucleotide long non-coding RNA is filed under the name Sus scrofa (pig). RNAcentral's name for it is "lncRNA (ENSSSCG00070003241.1)". Lineage: Eukaryota; Metazoa; Chordata; Mammalia; Artiodactyla; Suidae. The record is from RNAcentral.